This 1002-nucleotide long non-coding RNA is filed under the name Parus major (Great Tit). Its description in RNAcentral is "lncRNA (ENSPMJG00000003132.1)". The record is from RNAcentral. Lineage: Eukaryota; Metazoa; Chordata; Aves; Passeriformes; Paridae.
UACUGGGGGCGUAAGCCAUAUUUUCCUGACAGUUUCACAAGAGAGUGUGAGUCAAGGCAACUGCUGCCAGUCAUUUUCCGAAUGAGCAGGCAUCUUCCCAGAGCUCAGACACAUCACAGAGGUUUAAUGGAAUCUAUAGGAGGCAUUUUGGAGCAGAGAUGGAACCACAACCUGUGUAAAGCAUCACCUUUAAUUCAUUACCUCCCCACUCUGGGCUUAGAAAUUGCACGUUCUGAGCUGUUUGGCUAACUCAGAUUGAAGUAACAGAGGGAACAUUUUAGCCUGUGAGACAACCAGAAUUUGGCAAUUAAAACCAAGCCAGCUUGCCUUGAUCUCUGCUUAACCCCAGUUAACAUGAUGAGGUUGCUGUAGUUAGGGCCCAUAACCACCCUGGGCUUGCUGAACUCGUGAAACAAUUGCUGGACAGUGUUACUUGUAUGUGUGAGCUCAGUCCCGGAUCAUCUCAAGCUCUGUGAAAUGUCAAGUAAAAAUAAAGCUAUUCUGCUCUUACCAUUUUGAUUUUUCAGCCCUUACUGUCCAAGGCUUUCCUAGGAGUGACUUCAUCUCAAUGACUGCUUUAUUCAUCCCGAGAUGUUGACGCUUGCAGCAACUGCACGUCUCACUCUGCCAAACUGCUCUCAGCACCACUGUAGCCCGUCUCUUUGACAUCUUCCAGCACCAGCACAGAGUUGUCUCUCUGAGGGUGCCAAAGUUGUGGCCCUGCAGGAAGAUCUGCAGAAGCUGCUUGCAGCCUCAGCUGGGAGCUGGGCAGGUGCCAUGCAGGGACAGCUGUGUGUGGCACCUUCUAGACUUUUUCUCUCAUGUACCAACACUUAGAAGAUCAUUUGCUUCCAUUGGUGGCAUCUCAGAGGGACAAAUGGCUGCCUGCUCCUCACCCAUGCAAGCCUCACUGAUGGUCACUGUGGAAAAGCCCAUCUAAAUCACCUUUAUGGGCAGGGUGUGAACAGUAGGUGGCAAAAUAGACUUUGAAGACAAAUGCUC